CAGCAGCCACGGGAAUACGAAGGGGGCUAGCGUUGUUCGGAUUUACUGGGCGUAAAGGGUGCGUAGGCGGAUUGUUAAGUCAGGGGUGAAAUCCCGAGGCUCAACCUCGGAACCGCCUUUGAUACUGGCGAUCUUGAGUCCGGGAGAGGUGAGUGGAACUGCGAGUGUAGAGGUGAAAUUCGUAGAUAUUCGCAAGAACACCGGUGGCGAAGGCGGCUCACUGGCCCGGUACUGACGCUGAGGCACGAAAGCGUGGGGAGCAAACAGGUUUAGAUACCCCAGUAGUCCCUGUCUCUUAUAC
RNAcentral lists this ribosomal RNA (301 nucleotides) under uncultured bacterium. Its description in RNAcentral is "partial 16S ribosomal RNA". It matches the Rfam family "Bacterial small subunit ribosomal RNA", at positions 509 to 807 of the family's 1533-position model. The record is from RNAcentral.